GCAAAAGCUGGUGAGCAAUGCUGAGGCAGGGGUGAAAAGUGGCAUGAGAAGGUUGAACCGGACCAUUGUCCAGCAGAGAUCAAAUCAUAUCUUGCAAGAGAAGACUUCUCUUCGGUUGAAAGAGAGUUAUCAUUUUUUCCUCCUCCUGGCUGAAUAAUUGGUUCUUCAAAAAGAAUUAUCCUGUGCUAUCUCCACUCUUCACGAUAAAGGAUUGGAGUCCAAGGAGUUUGAUCUGAAGAAGCUCAAGAGCAUUGCUUUCUAAAGUUAAACUUUUAGAUCUGUUUACUGAUUUCAGACGCUGCUAAAAACGCAGUUUCGGCAUUGUUGGACUUGUGCACUUUUUUUUUUAAUUUCUUUUUAUUGGUUUAUACUUGUCCACUCUUUUGAUUAUGCUAGUUAUGCGCGAAACUAGUUUUUUGGUUGGCUUAAUUACAAUUGCUAUGGGGCUUUUGAUUUGUUUCUCAUAUGAAGCCUGAUUUGUAGAAUCUUUUCUCAAGCUUUGUGCUGUUAGAUUGAUCCGUUGCAUUGCAAAAUAUGCCCUGAUAUAUUCCAAUAUAUGUAAGUGAUUUGGGUUCUAUGCAAAAGUUGACCUUUUUCCGAGUAA
Molecule: long non-coding RNA, 604 nt
Organism: Hevea brasiliensis (rubber tree)
Lineage: Eukaryota; Viridiplantae; Streptophyta; Magnoliopsida; Malpighiales; Euphorbiaceae
Exons: 2
Source: RefSeq, a predicted model, not a curated record